Transfer RNA from Camelus ferus (Wild Bactrian camel), 72 nucleotides. It matches the Rfam family "tRNA". Rfam says of the family: Transfer RNA (tRNA) molecules are approximately 80 nucleotides in length. Their secondary structure includes four short double-helical elements and three loops (D, anti-codon, and T loops). The record is from Rfam. NCBI's taxonomy places the organism in Eukaryota, Metazoa, Chordata, Mammalia, Artiodactyla, Camelidae.
GAGGGUACAGCUGAGUGGUAGAGCGCAUGCCUAGCAGGCAUAAGUUCCUGGGUUCAAUCCCCAGUACCUCCA